Punica granatum (pomegranate) is the source of this 2284-nucleotide non-coding RNA. The record is from RefSeq and is a predicted model, not a curated record. Lineage: Eukaryota; Viridiplantae; Streptophyta; Magnoliopsida; Myrtales; Lythraceae.
CUGUCCACCUCCCUGAGGGGCGGGGAAAGGUUCUCAUCGGCUCAUCGUCUGCUCCUGCCGCUGUUUUCUUCUCUCCUAUCGGAAAAUGUAAAACCCUAAUCGGGAAAUUUCUCCCAAUCUCGCCUUGAUUUCCGAUAAUGGACUCCUCGAAGCCUAACAGCGAAGAAGGCGGUCCGUUCUAUGACGCCAGCGACGACUUCCCUUUCUACGAUUGCGUCGAUUUCGACCAGCCGGAGCAGCGGUCUCCAGCUCCCUCUGCAACUCUGCGGAGGCGGAGGCCAUCUCGUGAUUCGAAGCACAAUGAGGGUGGUCACCUCACUAGGCUGAGCUCAGAUCUGGACCGACCCGGCUCGGCCCGAGCUGCCGCCACCCCGAGCGGCGAUGAGAAGAAUGAAUCUUCAAUGACGAAAACUGCUAAUAGCGAGCUAGUCCUUGAUACGCUGGAAUCUGCCAGCUCAGUCCGAGCCGGCACUCCGGAUGUGCAGACGAAUGGAGGCUCUGUGAUUACUGAGGCGGACGGUGAGCCGGUCGGUGAGUCGUUCGACUCGAUGAGGGCGCCUGGCGACGCUGAAGUUCUGUCGUCGAGUAUGCUUAUCUCUCUGGUUGAGCUUAUGAUUAAAGCCAUAGGGUUUCAAAUUAAUCUCAUAGUUAGCAUGGUAACUUUCCCUUUCUGCUGUUUAUACACAUUUGUUAUGUUCAUCAUGGAUCCCUUUUCGACUAUGAGGCGAGGCCGAAAUUAUAUAAUUGGAAAGCUGUUAAAUUUGUGGAACCUGAUAUGGGAGUGUGCGAGCCCCUUCCUGUAUCAAUGGCUGAAGGAGCACGACUCAGUGUGGAAGCUUAUGUUGAGAUUUGGGUGGGGACUAUUUUGGGCAAUAUAUGUAUGCUCCAUUUUGUUCGGCUUACUGGUCACUGCAACUCUGAUUAGUGGAUUUAUAAUGAGGUAUUUGGUCAAGGAGCCAUUACGGAUAGAGGACAAGUUGAAUUUUGAUUACACCAAACACCAUCCUGUUGCUUAUGUGCCAUUGGUUUCUUGUGCCGGCAUCGAUUGUGGGGCGGAGUAUAAGAAAUUGGCUCAAAUUAGUGGCAGUCAGCAACCGCGAUUCAUUCUGCCUAAUAACAAGCUUGAGGCCACCAUAACCUUGGCAUUGCCUGAGUCGGAGUAUAACAAAAAUCUUGGGAUCUUUCAGAUCAGAGUAGAUUUCCUGUCUUCCACUGGUGAAACACUUGCAAGUUCAAGCCGUCCGUGCAUGUUACUCUUCAAAAGCGAGCCUAUACGUCUUAUGUUGACGAUGCUCAAGAUUGCUCCUCUAAUUGCUGGAUACAUAUCAGAGUCGCAGACCAUUAAGGUAAAGUUCCAGGGCUUUGUUGAAGGCAACGUGCCUACCUCCUGCUUAAGGGUGCUGGUAGAGCAACGAGCAGAAUUCCAUCCCGGAGCAGGAAUCCCAGAAAUCUAUGACGCAAAGCUUAUCCUAGAGUCUGAACUUUCUUUACUGAAAAGGCUCCUUUGGUCUUGGAGGAAAACCGUCUUUGUUUGGACGGUGAUGUUGUUUUUUACAGUGCAGUUGUUGUUUGCUCUUAUUUGUUGCCGACCAGUUAUUCUUCCUAGAACAAAAUGGAGGAAUGGAUUGUCGGGGAACAAUGCUACUUGAAAUGAUUACCUAGUGCGAUGAUCGGGUGUAAAGAUGUUAGAGGUCCUGAGUUGUAAGCAAUAUCCACACACACAAAUGCGGCUGAAACAAUUCUUAUAUCGCGACGAGAGUUGGACUUAGCGGAAAUGCUGAUUAUGGAUUCCGAGAUAAACUUUCCUAUGGUGCUCUUGCUAGAAUUCUUGCACAUAAUAUGCUCUGUUGGGAGAGGAUGCUGAAGAACAUUCCGUCCCUGGAGCCUCAACAUGCUACAAAUGACAAAAGAAAAGGUAUGGCUUCUGGAUGGAGAAGCUUUCAUGCCUUUGCAAUACUCUUGUGUUUGUCAAGAAAGGAUUAACGAGACCUCGACUAUUUUUUUCAUAAAAAAGAAAAGUGACCUUGAUCGUGACCUCUGUUUUCUUGGGAAAUUAUCAUAUAUAUUUUUUGCAUUCAUCAAUGCCGUACAAUGACUGAUAGGGGAUUGCUUAGAACUCCACUACUUAUAUGAUGCUACUCUAUCUUGGUGUUUCUCCAUUUGUCGAUAUAUACAGUACAUUUAAUGCAUAUGAUACUUUGUAAGGGAGAAGAGUGGCUCUAACCUUUUCUUUCUGAAGUCACAAUGACAGGAAUCGAAUUUGUAAUAUUUUAAUUUUAGGCGA